UACGUAGGGGGCAAGCGUUAUCCGGAUUUACUGGGUGUAAAGGGAGCGUAGACGGCAUGGCAAGCCGGAUGUGAAAUACCGGGGCUCAACCCCGGGACUGCAUUUGGAACUGUUAAGCUGGAGUGUCGGAGAGGCAGGCGGAAUUCCUAGUGUAGCGGUGAAAUGCGUAGAUAUUAGGAGGAACACCAGUGGCGAAGGCGGCCUGCUGGACGAUAACUGACGUUGAGGCUCGAAAGCGUGGGGAGCAAACAGG
Molecule: ribosomal RNA, 253 nt
Filed under: uncultured bacterium
Lineage: Bacteria
Description: partial 16S ribosomal RNA
Rfam family: Bacterial small subunit ribosomal RNA
Source: RNAcentral